AUACUUACCUGGCAGGGGAGAUACCAUGAUUGCAAAGAUGGUUUUUCCCAGGUUGAGGCUCAUCCAUUGCACUUUGGGUGUGCUGAUCCUGUGAUUUCCCCACAUGUGGGAAACUUGACUGCAUAAUUUGUGGUAGUGGGGGACUGUGUUUGUGCUUUCCCCUG
This 164-nucleotide small nuclear RNA is filed under the name Pogona vitticeps (central bearded dragon). Its description in RNAcentral is "U1 spliceosomal RNA (ENSPVIG00000001414.1)". It matches the Rfam family "U1 spliceosomal RNA". From Rfam's summary of the family: U1 is a small nuclear RNA (snRNA) component of the spliceosome (involved in pre-mRNA splicing). Its 5' end forms complementary base pairs with the 5' splice junction, thus defining the 5' donor site of an intron. There are significant differences in sequence and secondary structure between metazoan and yeast U1 snRNAs, the latter being much longer (568 nucleotides as compared to 164 nucleotides in human). The record is from Rfam by way of RNAcentral. Lineage: Eukaryota; Metazoa; Chordata; Lepidosauria; Squamata; Agamidae.